AUGGCGGAGGCGCCGCCGCCCAAGCUGCUCUACAUUGCCGUCGCCGACGGCGGCGGCCGGCGGGCGUUCCGGUACACCCGCCCCGUCCUGCAGAGCACCCUCCAGCUCAUGGGCUGCAAGGCUCGCCACGCCUUCAAGAUUAGCAAGAGAGUGUUCAGUGUGAUGAGGAGUGAAUUCUUGGAUGCAUCAAGGUCAGACAGGGCUGUUAAAGAAGAAAAUGCCUCUAGCCUGGGCAUUGGAGAAGAUGCUGAGAUGCUUAACACAGAUAUUCUAGACGCAACUGGCAGCAGCUUGCCCUUCGAAUUGUACAAGACGCAGACAACGAUUCUUGUUUCAAGAGAGAGGUUUCUGAAUAUCGUGUGUGAUGCACUCUCUUCUUACAAGUAUGUUGGACCAAACCAGAAGGCUGACUUGCUUCUUGCUUGCAGAAUUAAGGAGAAAAAGGAAUCGGUGACAGUACUCUUGUGUGGGACAAGCGGAUGCGGCAAGUCUACCCUAUCGUCUCUGUUGGGUAGUAGAUUGGGCAUAACGACAGUGGUUUCUACUGAUUCCAUACGCCAUAUGAUGAGAAGCUUUGCAGAUGAAAAGCAAAAUCCACUUCUCUAUGCGUCAACCUACCAUGCAGGAGAAUACUUGGACCCUGUUGCAGUUGCUCAGUCAAAGGCUAAGCGCCAGGCAAAGAAGCUCGCAAUGGUUUCUCAUCCUAACACCAGUGAAGGCCAAGAUGACACUUCAGAUGUUAAAUCUCGCCAUGGAUCCUCAGUAUUACCUCCUAGGACCGAGCUGAUUGGCAGCAAACAAAUGGCGAUAGAAGGGUUCAAGGCGCAAAGCGAGAUGGUCAUCGACAGCCUGGACAGAUUAAUUACAUCCUGGGAAGAGCAGAAGCAAUCUGUUAUUGUUGAAGGAGUUCAUUUGAGCCUCAAUUUUGUGAUGGGGCUAAUGAAGAAACAUCCUUCCAUAAUACCAUUUAUGGUCUACAUUGCAAAUGAGGAGAAGCACAUGGAACGGUUUGCUGUACGCGCAAAGUACAUGACACUGGACCCAGCAAAGAACAGAUAUAUCAAGUACAUCCGGAACAUCAGGGCUAUCCAGGAGUACCUUUGCAACCGAGCAGACAAGCAUCUGGUACCCAAAAUUAACAACACUAACGUUGACCAGAGCGUGGCAGCGAUACAUGCCACGGUUUUCAGCUGUCUUCGCCGGCGAGAAGUUGGGGAGCAGUUGUAUGACCUCAACACAAACACCGUUCCUGUAGUGGAUGAGGAAUACAGGAACCAGCGUGCAGCUAACUCCUUGGGUUCCAAGGGCAUGUUCCAGCUCAUUCAAAGGAAGGGGUCUUCGAGGAACCUGAUGGCUCUCCUUAACCCUGAUGGUUCGGUGACUAAGGCUUGGCAUGUAGAUUCAGGUGAUGGCAAUGCUAAUGGCAAUACAGGCAGUGGUAGAUCAGUAGGAAAUCAUAUGGUUAACCCAUCACUAAUUGGGAAGGCGGAGUCAGUUAAUCUCCAGUUUGGUUCUUUCGGGAUUAGCGCGUGGCUGAGUGACACAGGUGGCGGCACCAGCCAUGCUGGAAGUGUAGAUGACCUGAGGGCUGAUGGGAUCGAGACAGGCGGUAGAUACUUCUCCUCAUGCUGCAGCUCACCAAAGACGUCAGACUGCGCCUCCAAAGAGCAUAUGGAGGAUUAUUCAGUCUAUGGUAGUGAAGAGGAUGCUGACGACCCACCUGACGCUGAAACUGAUGAGGAUCUAACUGAUGAAGAAAGAGAUGUUCAUGAGAUUGAAGCGGGAUCAGUCGACGAGCACUCCACCAAGUCUGACGAGGAGUACGAUGACCUAGCGAUGCAGGACGUGAUGGGGAACGGCAACUGCUCCGACGACGACGAGCAGGCUGCGGGGUACGGCGCCAGGAGGUCACCGCCCAUGGAAGAGAGCAUCCUCGGAGCAGAUGACGCCAUGGUGGAGGGCAGGUACCACCACAACCUGGACCUCUUCACAAUGUCCAAGGACGUCGCUGCCACAAAGAUGCCGUGCGCGUGA
Molecule: ribosomal RNA, 2034 nt
Filed under: Triticum aestivum (bread wheat)
Lineage: Eukaryota; Viridiplantae; Streptophyta; Magnoliopsida; Poales; Poaceae
Description: partial small subunit ribosomal RNA
Source: RNAcentral